Molecule: long non-coding RNA, 41262 nt
Filed under: Lactuca sativa (garden lettuce)
Lineage: Eukaryota; Viridiplantae; Streptophyta; Magnoliopsida; Asterales; Asteraceae
Description: long non-coding RNA (LSAT_LNC005750)
Source: RNAcentral
GUGGUGACGGCCGGAGAAGGUGCUCCAGUAGGUGGUGCUGGUGGGCUCGAAGUUAAGGGAGAUGGUGCAGCCGAUGGAGUCACGACUGGGGAAGAGACUGGGACGGGAGCUGGUGGUGGUGAAGCUGCAGGAGGAGGAGUGGCUGCUGGUGGUGGUGACGCGACAGGAGGGGGAGUGGCUACAGGUGGUGGUGAGGCAACAGGAGGUGGAGUGGCUACAGGUGGUGGUGAGGAUACAGGAGGUGGAGUGGCUACAGGUGGUGGUGAGCUGACUGGCGGAGGAGUGGCAACGGGUGGAGGAGUUGAGACAGGUGGCGAUGCGACGGUUGGUGGUGGNNNNNNNNNNNNNNNNNNNNNNNNNNNUGGUGGAGUGGUGGUGGUUGGGGUGGCGGUGGGGGAGGAGGAAGGUGAUUGAGCGGCGACGGAAGAGAAGAUAAUGCAGAUGAGGGCAGUGAGGAGGGCAGCGUUGCGAUCCAUGAUUGAUUUAAUUUAAGCUUGGAAUUGGAUUUGGAUGAACGACAAGAAGAAUGUGUUAUGUGUGUGAGUGAUGGUGAGAGAGUAAGAGGUGUCUGGUUUAUUAUAUAGCGGACUUGUAUGAGGUAUAUCCGGUGCGGUGGGGUCGUUUGUAUCAUAUGCAUUGAGCCUUCCUAAUAAUCACCCUCCAAUAUCACAAACAUUUAACUCUCUUACUUUAGAAAUGAAGUAUAUUGUUUGUUAUAUCGAAAUGUGUUUUGAUGAAGUAUAAUUACUUAUAAUCGUAAUAUAGUAUAGGUUUUGUGUUAUUUUUAAUGUACAUAUAAUUGUUAAAUUUGUUUGGAUUGUUGGUUAUGUAUGUUUUAGCCGGUGAUAAGUAUAUAAUAUAAACAUUCCAAUAAUAUAUGAACAUAAAAGAGAUUAAAUAUGAACAAAACUUAAACUAUUUUACUGUUAUAAGUCAUUAAUUCUUUCUACAAUAGUUUCAUAUCAUUAGAGAAAUGGUUUGAUCUUUUGAGGAUCGAUCUUGAUGUUUGUUUGAUGAGCCUGGAUGGUAUUACAUAGUUGUUCAGAUAAAUGUUGACUAAGCAAAUGGUCUUUAGCUGGAACUAGGAUGAGCAAUCGUUCCAAACUGAACUGAACCGAAACCAGUUUAGAGUAAUAAUGAGAACCAAUAACUAGCUAGAUUGGUUGGGCUAUACCGGUUUUGAUGCAGGUGCCAAUUUUCGGUUAAAUACCUAGUUGGAAUCGACACAUGUUCUUAUACAGUUGGUAUAACUAGUUAAGGAUUUGAGCCAAAAUGAUUAAAAUAAUAUAAAAUCAACUAGCAAAAAUUAACCCAAUAUAUAAACAAAUAGGGUGUUUAUAUAAUCUAAAAUGAAAACCCAAUGUUGAAAUAACAUAAAUCAACGUGUAACCAAACAAGGUAUUUAUAUAGUCUAAAUUGAAAUACACACAUAAAACUAUGUGUUGAAAAAAUUCAUGACAUUCCCACAUAAAACGAAGAAUUUAUGACCGUUUAAAGAAGAUGAAAGAUUACGUAGGCUCUAGGUCAAAUUGAACCACCUUUCAUACAAUAUAGUCGAAAUACGGUUCAAUGGUAAUAUAGAAGAUGACCGGAGUUGUCACGUCAUAAGGUUGUAAUGUCAACAAUCCAAACAAGUUCAUAAGGAUGUAAUGUGAUCAAUCCAAACAAGUUCAAUGGUAAUAUGUGGAGAAAAAAACUUAAAUGACUAAAUGUGAACAAAACCUAAACUAUGUACCCUAUAUCAAUCGGUCAUAACGAUAUAAUGUGAACAGUUCAAACAGGUUCAAUGGUAAUAUGUGGACAAAAAGUAACUUAAAUGACUAAAUAUGAACACAACUUAAAUUAUGCAUGUUACCCUUAUAAGUUAUUAUCCAUUUCACGAAAGAAACUACACUGUGUCAUUGAAAGGAGAAUAUAUAUAUAUAUAUAUAUANNNNNNNNNNNNNNNNNNNNNNNNNNNNNNNNNNNNNNNNNNNNNNNNNNNNNNNNNNNNNNNNNNNNNNNNNNNNNNNNNNNNNNNNNNNNNNNNNNNNNNNNNNNNNNNNNNNNNNNNNNNNNNNNNNNNNNNNNNNNNNNNNNNNNNNNNNNNNNNNNNNNNNNNNNNNNNNNNNNNNNNNNNNNNNNNNNNNNNNNNNNNNNNNNNNNNNNNNNNNNNNNNNNNNNNNNNNNNNNNNNNNNNNNNNNNNNNNNNNNNNNNNNNNNNNGUUAUUGUCCAAGUUUUGAAAAAUUGAUGUAUCUUGUCAUUAUGUUUUUUUUUUUUUAAAAAACAUAAAGUUUUAUUCUCUUCAAGUACCAUCAACAUUGUUCCGUUAAAUAUAUAUAAAAACAUGUUUUUACCCUUAUAUUGAUCCAUUUUUUUGUUUUUAUUGUUACAAUAUUUAUUUAUUUUUUGUAAGCGUUUUUUAAUGUUUAUGUUAUUUGUAGAUUCAUUUGUUACUACCAUUAGCACCACCAACACGACCACAACCACCACCAAUAACCUCGUUCACCCCCUCCAAUCACCUCACUUUGAGAAUUUUUUGAUUAUCAUACUUUAUUUAUAAACAUGUCAUUUUCUUUGUAAUGUUCAUUUGAACUUACAUUGCGAAAUAAAAAUGGUAAUUCAAGUUGCACAAUAUUUCGACUUUGGCAACAUUUUACUAGAAAAGUAUUUAUUUUCAAUUUCAUUAACAACUUUGAAACGUCCAGAAAAUUACAAAUAGAUUUUGCGUUUUGAAAACAUAUUAACCGAUUAAGACCUUUAACUUAAAAACAAUAAGUGACAUUGAUUUGUUUGAAACCAUAGUGUUAUCAAUGUUGAAUUACAGGAAAGUGGAAAUCAGUAUCUUCGAUGCGUGUAUACAGUUCCGUCGAACUCUUCUCAUGAACAACUUGUAAAACAUAAAAUCCACAGUUGAAAGCAUAAGGUUUAAUGAGUUCCACAGUAUACCACAUAUUUCAUCAUAUAUACAAUGCAUCCACACAAAGUCAUCGGAUCUAAAGUUGACCUACAUGCUUUCCUUACCACAAGCAUACAUCACACAUAACGAGCCGAGCCCAAACAUACAUAACGGGCCCAACUCAAAGAGUAUAAAGGGCCUAGCCCAACGUACAAAAUGGGCCCCACCUACAUACAUAACGGGUCCUGCGCAUAUAACGGGCCCAAACCUAACUCAUAUAAUGAGCCCAACCCAAUGUACACAACAAGUCAAUUCCAGGGGCCAGAUCUCGGUCUUCCAUACAUAAAGGGCCUAGCCCAACUCAUAUAACGAGCCCAACCCAAUGUACACAACAAGUCAAUUCCAGCGUCCAGAUCUCGGUCUUCCAACUCAAAGAGUAUAAAGGGACUAGCCCAACAUACAAAAUGGGCCCCACCUACAUACAUAAUGGGUCCCGCCCAUAUAACGGGCCCAAACCUAACUCAUAUAACGAGCCCAACCCAAUGUACACAACAAGUCAAUUCCAGGGCCAGAUCCCGGUCUUCCAUACAAUACAUAAAAUCGUAUGUGGUCAGAGAUCAGAGAGACAAUAAAAUAGGUGGUCCACCCGAAAAUAAUAAAAUCAAACAAGAACCAUGCAAAUCAAGCUUUAGACAAAGAGUUCUCAGGCUAUCCAAUUUAACCGCCUACAACCAUUACAAGAAUUUCCCUAACCAACCAUGACACCUAAAAACAUCAUAUAGUCCACAAGCAAGACCCUACCAUUCAAGCAUACCAUGAGACUAAAUGUCCUACACUGCUCAAACCAACAUUAUCAUACAAUCAGUAUGCAAGGCCUUACCAGUCUAGCAUACCAUGACACCUAGUAUCCUAAACUAUGUAUGUAUAACAGAGAGUUAUCAUAGUCAACUAGCAUACUCGUACCCUAAUGGUACCUUUACCUAAUCAUGAAAAGGAUAUACAGUGUCUACAAUGUCAUACGUGGCAAGUGAGAAACUCACCUAAACCAAAGAAGCACAAUAACACUCUUACUCAUUGCACUGAUCAGAACUGCAAACCGACUAACACCAAAAACAGAACAAACCUCAGUUAACAACCCAAAUCCUUCAAAUUUGACCCAAGGUCAAACUGGUCAAAAGUCAAUGGUCAACGGUGAUGAGAUUAUGAUUCUCUUAGAUAGAUAGAUUCAAACAGAUAUUCAAGGAUAAUUACAAGAACAGAAAACGAUAAACACAAAUAUGAAUCAAACGUGUGUCGAAUGAUUAAUAUUCUCCACCUCAGAAGAAUUCAAUGUGAAUUGCUAUUGUAGAGGUGUGCUAGGGUUACAAUGCAAGAUCUGUGUAAAUAAUAAUCAAGAAGCAUCUUAAAUAUAAUGCAUGCAUGCACUAUAUAUACUUAAACCCUAAAACAAAACACGGCUGGACAGGCCCAGAUCGAGAGUACUAAUGGACCGAACAUAAAGCCCAAUGACGCAAUCUCUUGGACUCAACAAUCUCCCCUUUUGCGUCAAAUGGGGCGAGAGAUCACUUCGGUUAAGCAAUGGUAGUUUUCUUCAUAGUAUUGAACAGCUUCAGUAUGAGGGCAAGUAGAGUUUGACGAAAGUUGAUAUACCACCGAAGCAUAUCCGAAAACAGCUUCCUGUCUGUGUCACUGUUCUGAUCGCACCUGUAUAUGAUCUCAAGAAUAUGAUCCAAGCAUGAGGUGGAGAACAAAUGUUUGUCAGCAAGAGCGAACAAGAAUUUUUUUACCUUCACCCCUGGUGAACAUGACUGUGUGGAACCGAGGGUCGAUAUUUCCCUUCAACAUCACGUUGAUGUCGCUUGCCUUCCCAAUUUGUUUGAUAAUGGGCUUCUUUCUCAGGGUAGAGGCGAUCUCCUGACCCAUCUUCGCGACUUCAAGAAUAUAGCACACAAGCAUUCACUUGAUAUGAUCAAUGAUAGGCUCAUACUCUUGUUGAUUAGUCAGUAAAAUGUUGUUCAAGAGGAUCUAGUCAUGAGGAUUCAGAUUCGGUAGAUCAACAAAGGAGACCAUAUGGACCGAACUGUCUGAGCCGCGGGUCACUCUAAACUUGAUGUUGAUGAACUUCCCUGCCGAAGUGGGUUUCAACACCUUGACUAUUGUGAUCUUCUGAUUACUCAAAGUCAGGUAUUGCGGUUGAGAGAACGUAAAGUAAUAAUCGAUCAAAUCUCGAUCAACCUUCGGGUCAGGGGAAGGGAUGGCAACAAUUGACUCAAAACAAUGAAAGAUAAAUGCCUUUCGGGUGAUUGGCAUGUCAAACUGAGAAUCCUUAGAAUUUUCAAGAUUGAACGAAAGGACCAGCUCGAGCCAAUGUGUGCUUGGAGAUUCGAUUACCUCCUUCAGAAGUUUUUCCAUCGUCCAUAGAGGGAACAUGGGUUUCCUUCGUUCCAUGGCAUCGUUCACUUCUUUUAGUUUCUUCUCUCUUUAAAUUUCUUCAUUUGCCUUACGAAGCUUUUCCUCAAGCUCGCGUUCAUUUUGAUUGACUUUAAUAUUCAGUUUUAGAGGCUUUUCCUUCCAUUUCGAUCACAUCUUCGAUAUCAACCUCGUCAUCAUCACCAAAUUUCUUCUUUCAUUUUUACUUCAUACUGCCCGAAGCUUCAUUACCCUUCGGUUCAGCAGUGACUUUUGGUUAUGAGAUGGGUUUUCUUGUUGGAGGUUGUUGUGACUGACCCUGGCUAACAAUUUUCUUCUUUCGUUUUUCCUUCAUACUGCCCGAAGCUUCAUUACCCUUCGGUUCAGCAGUGACUUUUGGUUGUGAGAUGGGUUUGCUUGUUGGAGGUUGUUGUGACUGACCGUGAGUAACAUUUUCUCCCCCUUGUUUCGGAGGGACAACAGUCUUCGGAACACCCUGAAUCUUGCUAAGAAUGUCUAGAGCAGGUCUCAACUUCUCAGCCAAGUGACGUUGAAUCGAGAUAGUAAGAACUGAGUCAUGUGCUUCCAGAAGAUGCAGAGGAAUGGAAUGCACAUCACGAACACUGCUCUUGAUGACCGCUUGCUUUGACUUGAGUUCAUCAUUCUAUUUUAGGGCUUGGUUGAGCUUCAGAGCUUGAGUUUUGACUUUGGUGGUCUUGGGAUCCAGUUCAUCCAUGAGUUUGUUCUCCAUGGCUUAAUUGACAUGAAGUUUAUCAAGACACUGAUUGAUUGAAGAUUGAAACUCAGAGUAGUCGGAUUUGAUGGCGUGGCGUGCUUCCUCAAAAUUCUUCUUUUCAUCUUGAAGCGAGUUGGUAAGAGUAGCAACCAAAGCAUUCAACACCUAAGCAUUCUUUUAAGCUGCAGCCUAAAGAGAGUCAAGAAAAACAUGAGCAUCAAAAAUUAGUUUUUUGAUGUUUGCGGUCGUCUGCUUGCAAUCUUUUGUGGAUUCAUCAACUGCAAUAGAAGCUUUCUGGCAGGAAGAGGUAGAAUCGUAUAUAGCUUUAACAUCAUUAGAAAUAGUAGAGUCAUGCUCUUUGAAAAAGGUUGCCAAUAGAGCAUUGAUUGCAGCUUCUGAAUACGCCUAAGUUGGAGUGGAGGAGACAGAAGAGAGCAUAUGAUCAAGCUUGUCAUUCAGAUCUUUUAGAUGCCUCUUCAUGACUGGAUCAUCAUCAUCAUCAUCAUCAUCGCUUUGAACACGAUAUGGGCUAAAAUAAACAAAAUCAAACUCCAUUUCUGCUCUUUCAAGAACAGUGUCAUAUUCGUGUGAGGGAGGUGGGGAUAAAGGUUUUGAAGUAAUUGGUGGUUCAGAUUCUGAAGUAGGUACCCCCGUAUCCGAUACGCUAACACGAACUUGUGGUUGAGUGGUGGUGGUAGUGGUUGUUGUAACUGUUGGAUUAAUGUCUAAGUCCAUAACUAUAUUUGGUAUGUACUUGACCCGACCCGGCAUGGUCCAUUUGGGUUGCACUUCACCGACACAAUUUAUAUGGAUAAUCUUUUGAGAAUAGUAUGUUUAUGAUUAAUAUUAAUAUAUUAUAAGUUCUAAUAUAUUAAUAUGGAAUCAUAUUAUUUAAUUAGUAUUGAUCAAGAAUUAAUUUAGAAUUAAUUAAGUGAUCAAAAUGAACUAAUUAAAUAUGGACUCUUGUAUAUAUGGAAUGGGCCAAGUUCAUUUAGGUUGAGCUAAGCUUUCAUGGAUAGUCCAUGGAGUGUUUAACCCAUGGAUCAUAUGAAAUGAAAGGUCAUGGGUUUAACCCUAUUCUCCAUACUAUAUAAAGAUGUCCUUGGUUGGUGAAAUUGGCACUAGUGUGGAUACACUAAAAAAGGGCUAGCCAAUUUCACUAGAGAGAACCAAGUAAUCAUAUUCUCUAAAGUAUUCCAAGGUGUCUUGGUGAUUUGUGAUUCCACUUGAGGCUUCCACACUAUUGGGGCUAAGCUCUUAAAGCUUGAAGACAUCAAGCUACAUCAAGAGGUAUGUAUUCUAUCUUGUUACAUUCAUAGUUUUUGUAUGCUAGAUUAGGAUAAUACCUUGGAUGUUCUUAUUUGCAUGUAUAAUAGAGAAAACAUAGAUCCAAGGUAUUUAGGGUUGCAUGUACACUUAGGAAGUGUUAGAAUGCUCAAAACCCAACAGUGGUAUCAGAGCCACGGGUUGUUUUCUGUUAUAUUGAUGCAAAUAUUUUAUUUUCAAAGUUGAAAAAAAAAAAAAAAAAAAACAUGAAGUUUGUCAAAUUUUAAGAUAAUUACUUGUUCUUGUGAAAAACUAAUUAUUUGUAAAAUUUGAAUAAUUUGCUUUAUGAGUUGAAUUAGGUCAAAUUUAAUAAAAGAUAAAAUAAUAUGAUUAUUUUAUUAGUUUUAAAAGUUUGAUCUAAAGAGUUUUAUUUUUUGAAACCUCCAUAAGUUAUGGAUAUGAAAAGGUUUUAAAAAAAAAAUUGAUUCAAAGUUUUUUUGGAGUUACAAAAUUUGGUGUUAAUGUUUUAAAGGAUUCCAUAACUUAAGAAUAAGUUAUGGAUCACCAAAAGUUUUUUGUGUUACCUUGUUUUAUGAGUGAAUUUAGAUUAAUGAAUAAAAUUAUGUGAUAGUUGGUUUUAAUCCAAAUUAAUCUAAGAAUUGAUUCUAAAAUGUGUUUUUGUAACUUGUCCUCAAGUUAUAUGAAAAGUCACAUUUAAGAAUCAUAAAACUCAUAAAAAUUGGCAAAGGUUACAAAAAUGAAGAGUCUAGUUCUAAUUAAAUGGUUUUAUGACUCCAUAACUUGUCCUCAAGUUAUGGAGGACCAAGAGUCUCUUCAUUUAAUAAAAUAAAAUAAAAAAAAAAAAAGUGUAACCUUAAUUAAUUCCAUAAGUUAUAAAAUAAAGAAAAGUUAAUUCUUUUAUUAGUUUAAAGUCUUCCAUAACUUGUCCUCAAGUUAUGGAACUUGAAGAGUUUUUGGAUUAAAACUACUUUAAACACAUAAGUUAUGGAAUUAAUUAGUUUUGAAUAGUUUCAAAACUUGCCCUCAAGUUUUGGAAUUUGUAAAGUUUUCACUUAUGAAUACUUUAAUUCCAAGUUAGCCCUUAGAAUUUUAAAAGUUAAAAUUCAACCCUUAUACUUUAUAAUAUUAUAAGUUAAUAAUAUAUAUAUGUAUAAGAGUAAAGUCAGUCUUACCGCUAGUACGCCUCAUUCACGAAGCCGGUCUAUAAGGUGGGUAUAAGGUUGUUGCCUAUAAAAUGGCAACUUAAUGGGUGUCCACUCUCACCCACCGCUUGCUUGACUGGUGGAGGGUCGUUAGCCGAACGGGUUUGACAGGACUAGAAUUCUCCCUUCAUUAAAAGUAUUAAUGAUAAUACUAAGUAACUAAACUCUUAAUAAUACCCAAUCUUAGUUACUUAGGAAAAAUGUGAAUAAGGUGCUAAUCCAUGAAAUUACACUUUACACUUUGUCUAAGUCGUUAGUGGAGCGUGUGUGGUUAACCGGCACACUAACUUGGACUUAACAAGGUAGGUAAAGGGUGACUUAAUAUUUAUCAUAGUAUCGAUGGAGCGUGUGUGGUUAACCGGCACAUCGAUUGAGGGGUAAUUUAUUAAGGGUACCAAGUGAUUUGCAUGGUUACUUCACACCUUGUUUUGUGAUCCUCGGCAUCCCAGUCACAAAACCUGAAGGGCACACUCGAGAUUGAAACAUGCCUUUGAAAAGUUCAAUGAAUCUCAAAGAUCUAGGAGUUUCAAAACCAAUUAAAACCUAAUAAUACAUUUCGUUUAUCUUGGUGGAAAUUGGUGAAUCGUCAUUCACCUACCUUCAAAUAUUUUAUAGCUUGGAUUACGGCAUACCUCUUCUAAGUUAUAAAAUAGUUUGUUGGGUCCUAGCCUUAAUAUUUCAUAUUGGGUGUCAUAUUAAGGACUUUAAAUCAACUAUCUUGAAUAUCUCCCAAAAGAUGUCUGGUUUAGACACCUAUGAUCUUCCCAAAUCUCUUGAAACAAGGUUUCCUAAUGAAGAUGAUGUCCCAUGGAUAUCAUACUUCUUCACCUCUUCAAAUUAUUCUCCCUAACCCACAAGUUCUUGAAAAGUUUAAGGUCACUCAGGCCCUUUUGGCAAGGCAAGGUCUAGGUGUGGUCACAUCUUGGAGAUGUAGUCACAUAUUGACAAGCCGGGAGAGUUGGGUGUCAAAGUCUUGAGAAAGUUGGUGGUUCAACUACUUUCUAAGUCACAUAGUGAGUUCUUUUGGAACACCUAUGAAAAAGACUAUGACAAGACCCUUAAUGAUCUUAUCUAUUUGUUAAGAUCAACUUCCUAAAACUUUAUGGACAUUGACAAUGAUGACAUUGGAUAUCCAGUAAAGCAUUCUCUUCCCAAUGGAAAGGGAUCGGCUAUAGUCAACUCGGUUGACCAAAUGGUAAAGAGAAAAGCUAAGUCUGUGAUAGUCCUGUGUACCAUUAUCAAAGGGUCCAUAUGUUUGUAUUGCCAAAGAAAGGGCAUUGGUUGCGAAGCUGCCAAAUUUACCUAAGGAUGUUAAAGUCAAUAAGUUUGACUCUACUUCAGGUAAAAUCCACUAUCUAACUCUGUUAAGUUUCUAUUCUGAGAUUCUUGAUACAUGAUGUGACCGGGUCGCAUGGUGAUGGUUUAAGAAUCAAAGGAAAGUGAAGAAACUUAAAGGAAGAAUAUGCUGAAUCUGAUCGCAUAGAUGGAUUUCUAUCGCAUAGUUUGAAAAAUCGGAUUCUUGAGCUACUUCUUAGGAGUUAUGAGAUAUUGCUUAGGAAUAGAUAACAACAAGUUUUCAUAUGGAUUGUAAGGAUAGUUUUUCCGCAAAGUUUUAAAAUAAAAGGAAAUUUUUGAUUUUAUUUAUUUUAAAAUAUCCUUACAAUGGCAUCUGUGGAAAUUUUUGUUGCUUAUAAGAUUCCAUUAGUAGCAAGAGUGGAAGUAUGAAAUUGAUUCUUUCAUUUGUGGUAAUGUCUAAAUUUACCAAAUAAGGAAAGAUUCUCAUCACCCAAGUUUCAAUUGGACCGGAACUUGGAAUCAUGCAAGUUGUAUAGCAUGAUGAAUGAGAACUUUCAAGUUUUGGAAAAUUAAGACUAAUUACUUGUUCACAUGGAUGUGUGAGUCAAGUAAAGGACUUAGGGAUCGAGUACACAUUCUUGUGCACUGAUUAAGUCCACCACUAAAGAUCGAUAAGAAGAAUCAAAUAAGGCAGAAGGAUAAAAGUUUCUCAAAUCUGAAAAGAUGGGAGAGUACUUUAGUAUCAGUUUUGUGAUCAUCUUAAUGAUUAAGAAACCAUAUCAAAAUUAGUUCUCUAAGGAAAUCUUAGUGCAUUCUUAUGACUAAGAAGAGGAACUUGAAUUGUUGAAAUGGUUAAAUCAAGAAGAUGAGUCAUACUUCGUUCCAAUACAAGUCUUAGAGUCAUACUCCAAGAUUGUCAUUUGAGUGACAUGUCUUAAAGAAGGUUUAAAACACUUGUCAAAUGUAAGAGUAAAAGUUUUCUACUCUUGUACAUUUGAAAUUGGUAAGUUGUGAUGUUUUGGAUAAAACAAAGACCAACUUAGGCCAAUUGGGUAAAGUGUUUUUCUUGAUUAGAAUCCGCACUAUCUCUUGGAUGUUUGACAAGGGAGUCUUAUAUGUCAAGAGGACAGUGGGAGUCUUAAAGGUCUUGAAAGUCUCAAGAACUAAUCAAGAAUAAAACCUGAAGUUCUUCACUAGCACACGACUUGAGGUUUAUAACCUAUCGUGUUGACAUAUUCUGUGCCCAUUCCAGUUAAAGUUGGCUUUGCAUAUGAGUUCUUAGAGUUCUCAAUUGGUUGCAUAACAACUUGGAAGCAAUGGUAGGCCCUUGAGCUGCCAGGUGGCAAGAAAUUAAGAUUGAGUUCAGUCCAUAUGAGUUUGGAUUUGUCAUUAUCCUUGUCUUGUGACUAUGAUUUUGACAAUUCACAUGGAUAAGAACACAUACACCAUUAAAUCUAAGUGUCAUAAGGUUUCUCUCCGAUUCAUGAAAAUGAUGGUGAGGAAACACUUUCACUAAGUAGAUUUUAGCUAGAUAGCAAUUGUGAUAUUUGCAUUCUCAAAGUCGUUAGUGGAGCGCGUGUGGUUAACCGGCACACUAAUUUGGACUUGUGAGAAGUGGCAAAAAGGUCUAAACAUUAUGAUUACGGCAUCCCUCUUCAUAAUUGUUUAGAUACACAAGUGUGCUAUCUAAGGGAAGGUGUAUGAUUUUGAUAAAGUUUUAUCAAAACAAUCUAGUAUCAGAAAUCUGAACUUUGGUAAGAAAGUCAAUGAAGUAUUGAUUUCUAGAAGUCCAGCUGAUUUCUGAGUACAUGUCAAAGCUAGUGGGAGCAUAAGUGUUAUGCUAAUAAUCAUCAUGUUAGUGGGAGCAUGAUAAUUAUGAUAAGUAUUGCAAGUUAGCAAUGUUAAUUAUAGAAAACAAAAGUUUCAAUUGGGAAAAAGUUGUUUUGCUAUAAUUAAGGGAGAGGAAAUUAUACUUCAUCUCAAAUCUAUAAGCUUAGAUCGUGAGGUUUUAAUCAUUUAGUCAAGGAUAUAUAUGAAUUUCAUGUUGGAAUGGCUCAACAUAAGGAAAUUCUGUAUAUGGGUCCAUUAUUUGCGUUCUAAAAUUCGAUUAUGAUUACGGCAUCCCUUUUCAUAAUCUGAAUUAUGAGAACUUGGCAAAUUGAAAUGGAAAUGUUAUAGCAAAAGACUGGUUUAGUCUUUAUGUGAGACAUCAUGAAUCGUGUCCCAUAUGCUUCGGAUAUAGGAUCGAUUACAUGUGCUAUAUUCAUCCGUUCUAAAAUUUUCCAAAUGCCUGGGGCAUUAAGAAGGGAAAAGGUUUAGAACUGGAUAUGACUAAAAGGAUUAAACAAUUGUCGAGGACAAUCUAAGGUUUACCAAAGAUUGGUUGCUCAAGGACAGUUGGAAGUAUAGUGAUAAUUCUGGAAGGACCAUAUUGACAUAAUCUGUAAGGAGGCAACUCUUGUUCAGAAGUGAUAGUCAAAAUGGAAUCUGGAAAUGUUUCAAAGUUAGAAUUUUCAAUCUGUUUAAGAUUAGGAAACUUAAUGCAAGAAGGAUGUUUCCAAGGAGCUGAUCUCCUUUGGAAUACUCUGUAAUGUUUGUUGUCAAGUCUUUAUGACUUUGUGCAUAAUCAUUACAAGAGGAUCAAUGCAUAUAAGUUUAGAAUCUAACAGAUUUCAGUAAAUGGCAUGAAUUUGGAAUUCUUGCAUUUGCAGUAAGGAUUUGGGAGUGUGAAAAGAGAAUCAUUGAAGUUAUGUUCAAUUGAUCUAGUUCACAAAGUAAAGAUCAUAGACAAACAUAGUAUGCAUACUUGGUGUGUGGCAUGACUAGUGUUUAAGAAAACAUAGUGUACAUGCUUGGAGCAUGGGACAACUAUUGUUUUAAAUUCAAGAAUAAAGUUGAUAGCUGAAACAGUAUACAAUGAAUAAUGUGUAAUCAUAUGGUGAUAAAUAAAAGGUGUUUUAUUUAUGUUCAAAGAUUUGAUACCAUAUUGGAUUCAAUUAUUAUUGUGUUUCACUUUGCAUGUUUUGACUUCCCGAAUAAACUAGGUUAUUCUUCCGGAAUGACUAAGUUAUUCAAACCAUCCACAGUCGGUCAUAUGUUGGAAGUAGAUAUGAAUUAAGACUGUCAUGGGUUGGCUUGUAGAGGUCUAAGGUGUUGGACAAAGGGCUACAACACUCAUGAGUGCUCAUAAGUUCUGAGUAUUGGAUUCAACCCGCGCUCAUUGGAAUCACUUCAUGGAUUUUAUCACGAGUGAUCAUGAGACGAUAAUAUCUUAUAUUCUUCAAACCUAGAGAUAUGAGUUGUUACUAUGAGUUGAUAGUACAUUGAUUGCACGAAAACGCAUACGGUAACUCGGUGCUAUAAAACGUGCCUUUGUGUAUGAUUCAACAAGUAGUAGAACAAGCCAUAUGAGUCGAAGUUUAUCCGUUCCUUUUACCUUCGGGAUAAAAGCGAUAUCUGUGGGCCCCUCGAUGAUUUGAUGAUGACAAAUGGAAGUGCUCGGCCGGGCCAGGACUGAUUUGAUUUGUUCAAUUAGUCAGUCGUCAUAAAUCGGAAAUCGGGAAACAACAAAUGGACAGAGAGAAUGAUUAUAAUCCAUGUCUCAGUCCAUAUGAUAUCUAGAAUGGAGGAAUAUAUGAUCCCUUAUCUAAUGGACAAGUUCGUCUACAAGAUCAGAGUUCGACAGCGGCUUUAAGAGCUACGAUUGCCAGUUAGGUUUGAAGUCAUACGCAAUAAUAGUUUUAGACUUAUCCAAGUGGGAGACUGUUGGAUUAAUGUCUAAGUCCAUAACUAUAUUUGGUAUGUACUUGACCCGACCCGGCAUGGUCCAUUUGGGUUGCACUUCACCGACACAAUUUAUAUGGAUAAUCUUUUGAGAAUAGUAUGUUUAUGAUUAAUAUUAAUAUAUUAUAAGUUCUAAUAUAUUAAUAUGGAAUCAUAUUAUUUAAUUAGUAUUGAUCAAGAAUUAAUUUAGAAUUAAUUAAGUGAUCAAAAUGAACUAAUUAAAUAUGGACUCUUGUAUAUAUGGAAUGGGCCAAGUUCAUUUAGGUUGAGCUAAGCUUUCAUGGAUAGUCCAUGGAGUGUUUAACCCAUGGAUCAUAUGAAAUGAAAGGUCAUGGGUUUAACCCUAUUCUCCAUACUAUAUAAAGAUGUCCUUGGUUGGUGAAAUUGGCACUAGUGUGGAUACACUAAAAAAGGGCUAGCCAAUUUCACUAGAGAGAACCAAGUAAUCAUAUUCUCUAAAGUAUUCCAAGGUGUCUCGGUGAUUUGUGAUUCCACUUGAGGCUUCCACACUAUUGGGGCUAAGCUCUUAAAGCUUGAAGACAUCAAGCUACAUCAAGAGGUAUGUAUUCUAUCUUGUUACAUUCAUAGUUUUUGUAUGCUAGAUUAGGAUAAUACCUUGGAUGUUCUUAUUUGCAUGUAUAAUAGAGAAAGCAUAGAUCCAAGGUAUUUAGGGUUGCAUGUUCACUUAGGAAGUGUUAGAAUGCUCAAAACCCAACAGUAACAUCAAUGAAUAAAGGAGUGGGAAUUGGAAUUGAGGUUGUAGUGGUUGUAGAAAUGGGUGGAGGACAUGAAACAGUAGUAUUUGGAACUGAUUGGGUAAGAGAAAGAGGAGGUGAGUUUCGGUAACCUUCAUGAUCUGGUGAGGGAGGAUGUGAAUUACCUCUAAGUCAUCCUUCGUGUUAAGAGACAUCAUCAUCACCAGAUUCGGGUUCAGGCUGUGGAUCAGAUGGAACAUAGUCCGAGUCACUCGAUGAAGGAGCCUUUGGUUUGUAGGCCUUCUACUUAGUCUUUCGUUUCUUUGGAGCCGAAGGAGCAGCUUGCUCAGGCUUUCGCUUCUUGGGAGUUGAAACUUUAGAGGAUUGACCUUCCUUUUCCCCUUUCUUUUCAGGCUUCUUCCCUUAUUUCGCUGGUUUGUCUGCUGCGUCCAGCGAACUUUGCAUUUUAGGAUUAAGUUGCCUUGGUCCUGAAGGGGGGAGAUCCUUGUACUCAUUCAUCAGUUUGCUUUCAGCGGACACACAACGAUACAUUGGUUCCGAAACAGAACUAAUAAAUAUGAACUUUGAUGGAUCAGAAAUGAUUAUCUUCGUCGUGUGAAAGAUAGCAAUUGAUGGCAUUAAGGAAUCAACCAUUGUUGGAACUUGAAAUUUCUCCAUCGCCCAGUGAGUGACUAGAGUCCAAAACCUAGCACAAGAGAUUUCAGAGUAGUGAGAAGCAGAACUGAGAUUUUGAACCAGUUGCGACCAUAAGAUGGAUCGAAUGUCCAUGUUAACCCCAUGGUACAGACCAUAAAGAAGGGUCAUCAACGCCUUGCUUGCCCCAUCUGAACCAGCAACCCUCUUCGAAAAGCCUUUGAAGAGGAGGGUAAAAAUUCCAUUCCACUGAGGAGGAAGGAACGACUUCUUGAAGUUUGUAACAGUGGUGAGAACCUCAGUAUACCCCAUAUCAUAAAACAUUGAGAAGAGUUGAGUAGUAGAAACGGUAACAAGGUUGAUCAUGGAAUCGUCGAUAGCCAUCCUUAGUAACAAGCAGAAUCGAGUUUUGUAAAUCGGCGCUUUGUGAUUGAAGAUCCCAAAGAAGAUCCUCUCCUUGACCUUGUCAUAGACAACAGUUGAGUAGACUUGAGAAAGUAACGACAUUGGAACGUACUCCACCUUGGUUAGUGCAACAACAAGUGGUGAAUAUUUGAGGCAUUCAACCACUUGCAGCAUAUAUGGAUCACACUGGAACGGUGAUAGAUCAAUGAUGAGGUUCUGAUUUGGUUUGAUUGUGAGAAGAGAUGACUGGGCACUUUGUUCAUGAACUGAACAGGAAUCCGCCAUUGAUGAUUCUUGAAGAAAAAGAUGAGCAAUAGAGAGAGAAUACGUCGUAUAGCUCUUGAGAGGAUUUGGAAGUGAUAAGAGUAUAAACGGAAAUUGAGAAAUCGCUUUAUACCAUUACCAUGUGAGAGAAAAAUCUAGAGUGAUGGGUGCACAAUCCGCUGAUGUAUCGCCUGAAAAAGCGCGAUUUGACAAUUGUUGCCCCGAAAAGUGUGUCAGGAGGAGUGAGAAUGGAAACGAUUCAAUUUCAUGCGCCUUUAAAACCUUAUCCUUUCAUCUUUUCUUUAAAUUUUGAAAUGAUCCAAAUUCCCUAUGAGAUGUCGAUUCAUCCUUUCGCUUCAUAUAUAUUUACUCUUCGCUCUUAAUAGAGUGUAUGACCACAACAAAUUGAACCAAGCGCUGUAUUUGAGAAUUACCAGUUUGUACCACGAUCAAGACUUGUGAAAAAUGAUAAAGAUCUUCAUGCAAGAGUGUGCCAAUCGAAAAGAUAUAGAGAAAAUUAUUUUUGGGAUUUAAGUGAUGUCUAUAUAGACAUGAAACUAUGGAUCCCGUGCACGAAUCGCUUCCUUCAAAGUCAAGAGAGACUUAGAAGUGUCUGUGUGGUUUCCCGUUGAUAUAUGAUCAAAUGCUUAUUAAGAAACAUUUAAAGGCAUAUUUUCAAAUCUAAGCUAUAAUGGGUGGCUUCGCUUCAACCAAACUUCAGUACUUAACAGAAGACCGAAAGUUGGAUGAAGUACCUGUGAGACCAGUGUGGCCUGUUGAAUAAGUAUGUGAGAUAAUAUAUUCAGUGACUCAGUGAGAGUGAUGUUGAAAUCUUAAAAAAAUAAUAAUAAUAAAAACUGGAUCUUUUGGGAAGAAAAAUCAUGGUGUUAGACAAUUCAAAAAGAUCUCACAAAAAUAAAAAGAUUUUAAAGUAUAGACCGUCAAUUCGUUUAAGGCAUUGGUUUUCGAGUCUCACUUAGCACGUGGUGAAACGAAACUAAGAUCAUCAACACAGAUGUUGUGUAACCAUAAACCUCAGUGGUAGAUGCUGAGAGUCUCAAGGGUUACGAUUAUGAACCGAAAUGAGAUGAAGAAAUAAGAGUGCUUGGUUAAAGAACCAUAAGUAUCACUGCUAUUUAAAAGGGACCAAGAAGAUAACUUUUAACUUAAUGUGGGAAGAGUAAGGUAGCUCAUGAAUUCAGUGAUUUUAUCAGCCUAAUUGGGAAGAAGUGAUUGCUAUAUAUCGAAUCAGUAAGGCUUCACUCAAAGUCUUGGAGGCUUUGGUCGACAUGCAGCAACAUGCUUCUAGAGACACUUAGCUAGUAUAUAGAUAAAGAAUGUUAUACCUUCCCCAGUCUUCAUCACAAAAAGAAAAUAUUUUUGGAUUUUAUAAAAUCUUUCUGAAAAAUAAAUAAAAACAGAAAAGAAAAUAUUUUUGAUUUUUGUGAAUUUUCUGAAAAAGAAAUAAAAACAUAAAAGAAAAUAUUUUUGAGUUUUGUAACUGAAUUGAAGGCAUAAAGUAAAGUAAUCAAAAGAUAUACAAAGUAUACAAAAGAUAUGUAAGAUCCAAACCAUAAGAUGUAACAAUCGCUCUUUUUGAAAAAAUAUAAAAGGCAAAAUAGACCGAGCCUUCGGUUCAUUUCGGUUCCACAAAAAUUAGGAGCCGGAAUAGACCGAGCGUUCGGCUCAUAUCGGUUGUUAGAGAAUUUUUAUGAAAGCGAAAGCGAAAGUUAUACUUAAUGAAAUGAUUGUGGUUUUGGAACUGAUUCAGCUUCCAUCAUUUCUAAGCCUUGUAGUAUUUUAUUAAACGAUGCUUCAGGAAAGGCCUUAGUAAAGAUGUCAGCCAAUUGAUCAGAGGACCGAACGAAGUGAAUUUCAAAAUUCCCAUCUUCUACAUGAUCCUUGAUGAAUUGAUAUCGCAGUGCUAUGUGUUUCGUCUUGGAAUGCUGCACUGGAUUAUGACAGAUUUUGAUGGCGCUUUCAGACUCGCAAUAAAGAGGAAUCUUCUUCAUAUUUAGGCCAUAAUCUCUUAAUUGACUUUGGGUCCAAAUGACCUGGGAAGUGCAAGAUGCUGCAACAAUAUAUUCAGCUUCGACUAUGGAUAGUGAAACACAUGUUUUUUUCUUGGACUGCCAGCUAACAAGUUUACAAUCUAGUAAUUGACAUCCCCCUGUAGUGUUAUUUCGGUCCAAACCGCAUCCUCCAAGAUCGGCAUCAGAGAAUGCUUGUACGAAAAAUCCCAAUUUAGCAGGAUACCAUAGACCGAUAAAAGUGGUUCGCUUCAAAUAUCUGAAGAUGUUCUUAACAGCCACCAUAUGAGGUUCGCGUGGAUUAGCCUGGAACCUAGCAUAGUAACAAACAGAAAACAUAAUGUCUGGUCUACUAGCUGUUAGAUACAUUAGAGAACCUAUAAUUCGCCGAUAGAGAGUCAUACCAAUAGCCGGUUUCUCCAAAGAUGGUGUUAACUUCGUUCCAAAUGUCAUAGGAACCUUUACUUUGGAAUCUCCCAUCAUGCCAAACUUUGCUAGCAGUGUCUUCGUGUAGGCCUCCUGAUUAAUAAAUAUGCCUUCAGGUCCCUGUCUAAUAUUCAAGCCAAGGAAAAAGUUAAUUGGACCUGUUGAACUCAUCUCAAACUUAGUCUCCAUCAACUUCCUGAAUUCAGCUGUUAGACUGGGAUUUGCGGAACCGAAGAUGAUGUCAUCAAUGUAAAUUUGGACGAUCAUUAAGUGGUCACCCUCUUUCUUGUGAAAGAAGGUUGGGUCAACCGAACCUUGUUUAAACUUGGACAUUUUUAGAAAUCAAGUAAGGGUUUCAUACCAGGCUCUAGGAGCUUGCUUUAACCCAUAGAUGACUUUAUCCAGAAUAUAGUAGUGACCAGGAUACAUUUCAUUCAAGAAACCUGGUGGUUGCUCAACAUACACAGUUUCCUCUAAUUCUCCAUUCAGGAAUGCACACUUGAUUCGCACUGAUUCUAACCUUGCUACAGGGGCGAAGGUUUCUUCAUAGUCUAUACCUUCUUCCUGACAGUAUCCCUUUACAACCAACCUUGCUUUAUUACGAAUCACAUUCCCUUCUUUGUCCAUUUUGUUUUUGAAAACCCAUUUUAAUCCAACUACGGAUGCGCCCUUUGGUGUGGGAAUUAAUCUCCAAAAUCGAUUUUGCUCAAACUCAUGGAGUUCGUCUUGCAUUUCCUGUACCCAAUCUGAGUGAUCGAGUGUAAUAUUAACCGUUUCGGUUCUAUUUUUGAGAAGAAUGAGUUAAACAUGCAAAAUUCUACUUGAGAGAACAGAGCAGUUUGCUUCACUUUAAUAUGAGACUGAGUGAGGACUCCCUCAGAUGAUUCACCAAUUACUUGAGUUUUUGGAUGAUCUCCUGUCCAUUUUGUGAGAGGAGGGUAGUUUGGAUCAUAGGUGGGAUUCAAUUCGGCAUUGAUUUCCUUGUCCAAUUCUAAUUGAAAAUCUGAAUCAUCAUUCGUAUUAUGAUUCUCCCCCUCGAAUGAUGAGACGAUUUCAACAUCAGGAUCAGAAUGAUCCCCCUCGAAUAGGACGUCAUGAGUCUUUGCUUGUGAUGGAUUUUAUCCCUAGAAAGACGAAUCAGGGUUAUCUGGUGUGGAUGAACCCUCCCCCUGGAAUAUAGAGCUUUCUUUUGGAGGUUCGCUUGGACCUGGCUGUUCGGUUGGUCUUUUAUGUUCACUUUCCAUUUCUCUUGUUGCUUCAUCGAUAAUAUUCUUCAAGUUGUCAAUCUUGUUGUCAGCUGCCUUUGUCUCAGAAUUAAUUUCUCUCUCUGGUUCGUUAAAGAGCAACAUGUAUUCUUUAAAUGGAUUGGAAAUUGGGACCUAGACUUGACCAGAUGCUGGAAAGAUUUCCUCUGUUGGUCCUUUACUUGACUGAAGUUUCUUCACAUAAUCAUCAUCAAAAGUGACAUAAUAGGUUUCUUCAAUUUUCUUUGAAUGCUUAUUCAGAACCUUAUAAGCCUUUGAAGUUAGUGAGUAACCAAGAAAAAUCCCUUCAUCUGCCUUUACAUUGAACUUGUUUUGGUUCUCUUUGGAAUUGAAAAUAAAGCACCUUGAAUCGAACACAUGGAAGAAUUUGACGUUUGGCUUGGGAUUAUUCAAGAUUUCGUAUGGAGUGAUGGAAAAGCGCUUAUUGAGGAAGGAUCAGUUUUGGGUAUAGCAGGCAAUAGCUAUUGCAUCAGCCCAAAAGUACAAAGGUAAGGAAGUGAAGCUAAGCAUGGUUCGGGCUGCUUCACACAAAGAGCGGUUUCACCUUUCAACUAUGUCGUUCUGUUGUGGAGUGUAGGGAGCUGAGAAAUUGUGAGAUACUCCCUUAUCAACAAGAAAUUCUUCGAACUCUUGAUUUUUAAAUUCCAACCCGUUGUCACUUCGGACGUUUCUAACCACCUUUUGCAGUUGAAGUUCCACUUGCUUUAUAAAUACUUUAAGCUUUUGAGUCGCCUCUGAUUUCGGUUUAAGAAAGAAAACCCAAGUGAAACGUGAAAAGUCAUCAAUAAUUACCAAAAUAUACUUACUACCACACAUGUUUUCGAUCGCUUAAGUACCACACAAGUCGACGUGUAGAAGUUCAAGUGGUUCAACGAUCUUUGUGUUAACACGUGUGGGAUGACUCUUUCAGCUUUUCUUUCCCAUUUCUCAUGCAACGCACACGUGUUCCUUAUCAAAUUUGAGAGGGGAAGUCCUCGUACAUGAUCACCGAUAACCAACUUGUUGAUAUCCUUAAAGUUGAGAUGUGAGAGCCUUCGGUGCCAGAGCCAAUUUUCAUCAGAGUGUGAUUUUGAAAAAAGGCAUACAACUGGCUUUCCUCGAAUUGGGUUAUGAUUUAGAGGAUACAUCUCUCAUUUUCUCUUGGAUUUUAACAGGAUAGUCUUCGUCUUCUUUUCAACAAUCUCAGAACCUUCAUCAUCGAAUGAAACUUUCAAGACAGUUCCUACGACCAGUUGAGAGACGCUUAUGAGAUUGUGUUGUUAUCCCUCUACAUAUGCUACCUUUCAGAAUGAGAAUUCUCCGUUUGUAAUCAUUCCUUAGCCUUUGAUUGUGCUAUAUGAAUUAUUCCUGUAUUUGACACAUCCACCAUCCUUAAGGGACCGAAACUCCCUUAGCUCUCCCUUCCUUCCUGUCAUGUGACGUGAGUAACCACAAUCAAUGUAUCAUUCGUCGUCGAACUGCUCGUCACUAAUAACUUGCAAAAUUUAAGCAGAUUUAGGAACCCAAAGUUUCUUGGGUCCUCGUGAUCCUUUUACAGGACAAGGAAUGGCAGCAAAAAGAUCAACCAAAUAUGUUCUUUUUAUUAACGUGGUUUCAUCUUUUCUUUUGAUGGUAAAAACUUUGAUUUUGUUGUUUUCUUGUUUCGGUAUAUCUAAAGCCGACUAAUUAUUUUUGCUUUGAUUCUCAUUUAAACUUUUCUUUUGAUUCCUAGGGUUAGCUAACGUCUUCUUGGCAUGAACUUCAGGGUGCAAGACUAGCUUUCCCUUUCCUUUGAUAUCCUUAACUGGGUUCAACUUCGGUUGUUGAUUGACUUUAGGAGUGAAGCUAGUCUUUUGGUUCUUAUUACUGCUCGAUUCAACACCGAAACCAUUUCUUCAGUUUGUUUGGCUGCAAGACUGAUACUGAGUACAUGGACCUUUAUUUGUCUGAGGGCUUACUUUCGUCUGUGGAUUCGAUACCUUGUGAAUGUGAUUAGCAUUUUGAGAAUUACAAAACUGUUUUCUCUCUUUGAGAUUCUUCUGGUACCUUCUGUUCCUUUGAUGUGUUUGCUCAGCAAGUUGUUUUUGAGAUAUGUGAAUUUUUGUAUUUGGUUUCGGUUCUUCUUUACGAGCUUUGCUUGGAGAUGAUUCUAUAGAUGCCUUUUCCGGAUCGUCUUGAAUUUCUUUAGUACCUCUUGUACUUGGCUUAUCAAAGCUUGAAGGCUUGUUGAGAGGUUCAGCCACAUAUCUACCCUUGACUCUCCACGAGGUUUGUUCCGACAGACCUACUGUUUCACAUCCAUCAGCAUUUUCUUCAUCUACCAAAGAAGUUAGCUCAACUGUUUGCUUUUUGGUAACUCUAGUGGUGGCAUAUACUUGAUUCGGUACCGUUUGCACCUUUUUGUAUACCACUGCCUUUUCUUUAAGGACUUUGGACUUGUCCUUGGACAUACGAGCGAAAGCAAUCGAGUUUUCAGAUAUGAGAGGUUUUGCCGGUUUGGGUUCGCUUUUUAGGAAUUCAGAGCAGUCAACCUCAUCACAUUCAAAAUUUUCAGUCAUAUAACUGUCCUCAUCAAAUUCAGAAGUAGUUUCCACAUUCAUCUUAUUUCUGAACUUAAUUUGGUAAUCAAUGAGUCAAAUUUUUGCAUGGUUUCGGUCUUUAUUUUUAAUUUGUCAUUUUCGUCCAAUAGAUUCCUAAGCAUGUCCUUAUGGUAUUUGGACUUUAUAAAGGACUCAAUUUUGUCUAGACCAAUCCUGUAAGCAUCCGAAACCUCAUCUGAUGAGACAAUAAAUUCACAAUUGUAGCAAUCUACAUCAACUUCAUCCUCCUUAAAUUCAAGAAAUGGCAAAAUCAUUUUGUGAACCUUUUUGCCAAUAUCACAAUUCAAAUGUAACUGAGUAAUAUUAGUGUAAAGACGUUUAGCUAUUAAACAAAAAACAUUCCGUUGUUUUAAAAACUUCAAAUUGUCACGUUGUAAAUAAAUUAACUCAUCUCUCAUUCUAACUAAAUCUAACUCCGUCUUCUCGAUCCUCAUCCUUCGCUCCUCACUCUUGGAUGUCACCCUACUAAGUCGAUCGUUUAAGUUAGCAUUUGUGAGGCGUGUUUGCAUUAAACUUCCACUUAAAUUAGAAAUUUUGAAUUUUAAUUCGUUUAAUUCCUUUUCAUAGGUUGUUACAGGUAUUUUAGGUGAUUCUAGAAUGGAUUGUACCUUCUUGAUCAACUGAUUGCAGUCAUUGAUCCUUUCACUCACAAGCUUGGCUGCAAAACACUUGUCUUCAUUUUGAUUCGCCUCAUCAUGCUCACCUUCGGUUGUGUAUCCCCUCAUCUAUGACACUCCAGCUGUCACCAUCAAGCAUCUCCCAGCGAACUCAUCACUACCUUCUUUUGCCACAAAAGCCCUGCCACGUGUGGGUUUACGUACCUAUUCAUCUUCAGAGUCUAUAGACUAGACCUCCAUGCUACCGAACUCAUCAUCAACAACAUUCUCCUGCACAAUCAAAGCAUUCAUAGAAUUGUUAGUAGCUUUCUUCUUCUUUAUCUCCCCCAGCUUGCGCAUAUGAUAUGCUUCAUCAUCUUCACCCUCCUUCUUCUCUGACACCUUUCUUAACAUGCAAUCUUUGGCAAAAUGGUCUUUGCCAUGCCAGAAGUUGCAAUCGUAUCCUGAGUCUCCCACCAGUUUGCUCUCCUUCUUCUGUUCUUCUUUCGGAGGAUUACUUUUUUUAUCCUCUUUUGCCUUUUCUGAGUUGUAGCUUCCUUGCCAGUUUCGGUUCUUGGCAACAGGGAACUUUUUGCGAGCUAACCGUUUCGGGUUGGAAACCAUCAUUGCAUACUCUUCGCUUGUCAGAUCACAUUCUGAAAUUUCAGACUCUUCUUCAUCUUCUGCCACAUUCUUCGCCUUAGAGAGAAGGGCCAAGGGCCCCAUACCAGACACCACUUUCGCUUCCUUUGUCACAAGACUUUCAUGCGACUUGAGAAUACCCACCAUCUUUGCCAAUGAAUAGGUCUUAAACUGCUCAUGAGCCUUCACAGUUGAUGCCACAACCAUCCAUUCGGGUCUUAAACCAUUCAGAAAUGUGAGCUUCUGUUCGAUCACUUCUCUUCCAAUACCGUGCUUAAUCAUCUUACUCAAAAGGGGGUUGAAACGAUCGAAUGCCUGGAUAAGUUUUUCAUCUGGCUUUCGUUGGAAAGCACCAAACUCAGAGAGCAAUAGAGUUUGGAUGGAAUGUUCCAAGUCCUCAUCAAUGGAAUACAGCUCUUUGAGUCUAUCCCAGAUCUCUUUUGCUGUGGUGCAUGGGCUUACCAGAUGAAAGGUAUCGGACUGCAAAGCAAGAUCUAAUCAUUCUCAUGGCUUUAACAUUACACAACAACUUUUCUUUUUCGUCUUGGGGAAUCAUCUCUACGCAAGUUAAGAGUUUGUUGUACUCUUUUUGAGUCAUCAUGGUUCUAUUUGUUCCAGAAUGAAUGGAAGGACCCAAUGUUAUUGCUUCACAGAUAAGAUAAUCGUUGUCUUCAGAACCAACGACGUAGUCUUUGAAGUGAUGCGUCCAAACUUCAUAAUCUUGUGUGUAUAGAAUCGGGAUCCUAAUUGUGGAUCCAAUGUUGUUGGAGAUAUGGAUUGGAUUGGUUUGUGAAUCUUCGAGAGACAUGAUGACCUUUUUCAGAUAUCUGCUAAGAAUCAGACUUGUAAAGAUUGAAUUAGGGUUUUAUCAAAAGCAAGAAACAACGUCAACGAAGAGAUGACGACUCCUAAUGAUUCGAUAAAAGCUGAAACCCUAAAAUUGUUCUUCCAACAGAAGAGAUGCAUAUAUAUUACACAGUCUCCUGCUCUGAUACCAAUUGAUGAGAUUAUGAUUCUCUUAGAUCGAUAGAUUCAAACAGAUAUUCAAGGAUAAUGAUAGUAACAGAAAACGAUAAAUACAAAUAUGAAUCAAACGUGUGUCGAAUGAUUAAUAUGCUCCACCUCAGAAGAAUUCAAUGUGAAUUGCUACUAUAGAGGUGUGCGAGGGUUACAAUGCAAGAUCUGUGUAAAUAAUAAUCAAGAAGCAUCUUAAAUAUAAUGCAUGCAUGCACUAUAUAUACUUAAACCCUAAAAUAAAACGCGGCUGGACAGGCCCAGACCGAGAGUACUAAUGGUCCGAACAUAAAGCCUAAUGACGCAAUCUCUUGGACUCAACAAACGGUCAACAACAUUCAAUGUCCAACCAAGCCAACAUCCACCACGAAGUGGUGACCUCUUGGCCACAUCGUGGGUAUGUCCAGACAAAACAACCAAGAAGCUGAAUACCCACCACGACAGGGUGACCUCUUGGUCACGUCGUGGUUACUGCCAUAUGCCAUUUUUUCUUUAUAAGGAAUUAAUCCAUUAAGUCCUUUGCUCCAACUUUCUAGAAGGCCUCAUUGCCCACAAAUGAUCCAUACAAAUCAUUACUUUAUGGACAUGCAUGUCCAUUGCAUUUCUCUCUUAAUACUAGGUCAAAAUGGGUAAGAAAUAGAGUCAAAGCUCCAUGCAUGGCACCAAUCAACAUGAAAUACUAAAUAUGAACCAUAUGAUGACCAAGGAACCCCAAUAAGUGAUAAAUUUGCCAACUUUAUGAAAACCAUUCAUUCAUAAUAACAUAUUAUAAAGGAACAGAGCUUAAAACCUAGAUCUACAAAAGAUGAACUAAAAAGGUGAGAACUUGGAGGCUCGCAAUAGUCCAUAGGAUGCACCAAGAGAUGGAGAUGAACUUGCUAGCUUAUCCUUAACAAAACAUAGCCUUCCUUCAACCUUCAAAUGACCAAAACACCAUCAAAGAGCUCACAAGACAAGAGGAUAGACUAGGGUUUUGAAAAGGUGGAAUAGAGGCUGAAGAAGAUGCCCUAAUCUUGGACUUAGUGGCCUUAAAUAUGGUAGAAAUCCUAAAAAUCGUGAGAUGGGGUUACAAUAUCCACCACAUCAUGACCUCCCACUUGCCACGUUGUGGUUCUCAUUAUAGCAUGCGAUCUGGAAGUUUCAUGUCACUUCGUGGUACUCGAUAUACCACAUCGUGGCAUAUGAUUCUCUCUAAAAACUAUCUUUGUCCUUUAUGAAUCUUCAAUUGAUCCAUUCUAGAAUGUAACAACCCAAUUUUCAUAAAAAAUUUAAACUUUUAAUUUCACAAUAUUAACCAUAGAAAAUACAAAGAUCCCAUUACACAUCCAUGUUAUUCUGAAAUUUUGAGUACAAAGAGCUAAUUUCGAAACACUAGAGAAUGCAUGCCUUGUCAUCAAGUCGGGCCCUUGCCCUUAUCAAUAGAAGUACCUGAAACAUUCAAAUAAACUAUAAGAACAAGCUUAGUGAGUUUCUUAAUCACAAAAGUCAUGCUUAUACAUAUACAUACAAUUUGCCAUGGACUCCCUCCACGGUCUUUCAAUGGAAUGCCAUGGGCUACCCCCAUGGUCUUAUUUCCUCAUGCCAUGGGCUCCCCCCAUGGUCUUCACAUGGACCCAUACAUAAAUCAAAUAACAUAUCAUUUCACAUUUAACUACAAAGCAUAUCAUAUAAAUUAAUGGGCCGACCUUGGUGCCUUCGACCCAUGAGUGUGGUGAGAAGACUCACCUCACCAGUAGCACUGAAUGACAAGAUCCAACUCCCAAAUCACAGCUCCGAACUCAAUUGCCUACAGUCAUCAUGUGACUUACUCCAUCAAAAUCCCGAAAUACCCAAAAUACCCUCACAUUCAAACUUGGUCAACCAUGUCCAAAGUCCAAGUCAACAGUCAAGGUCAACAGUCCAUGUUGAUCCAACUUGUAAUGCAUGUUCCAGUUAUCAUUUAAUUUAUAAGUUUUUUAGGGUUUUAUGCUAAAAUUUGAUGAGUUGGGGAGCCCAACUCGAUGAGUAGAGAUCGUUUUUGGACGCGGGACUUAGGGUCUUCUCGACGAGUUGGAAGACCCCCACUCGACGAGUAGGCAGUAUAAAGGAAAACCCUAAUUUUCAAGGGUUUGUACCAUAUUUAAGGAACUUAUGGGUCAUUUGUGGCCUCCCUCAUCGUCCUAUCUGUCCAGAGAGAAAGCCUAGCCGCGCUUUAGUGUCUUCUUGAGUGUGUGUGAGCUUUGGAGAGUGAAUCUUGUGCUUUUUGGAAGGAAACUUGAAGGUUGAAGAGAUUUAAGUGAGGGGAGGGCUUUAGAUCUGGCAUCUAUCUGGUGUUAGCAUCCAUUUGGAGGUAAAAAGUUGCUACCUUGAUCUCUAUUUGCUUAUAUCUCAUCUUAUGAAAGAAUAUGGUCACUUUUGGUGCAAAAUGGUGUCAUACUCAGAUUUGGACUUGUCAUUAGGACAUGGUUCCAGAUAUGGACACCUCUAGGUCUUCAUGGACAUAAAGUUGCUCCCUUUACCUAGUAUAGUCCCUUUUCCAUGUCCUAAGCAUUGUAAGAACCCUAGAUUUAGUGUUUUAGCCAUUGGAGGCCAUGCAUGAAUGUGCAGUUUGCAACUUUAUGUGGUAUUUCGAUCUUAAGGGACUGGAUCUAUAGUUUGGAGGUUUGGAUUCGACUAGAAGGACUGAUUAUGUUAAGGCAAGGGAAAAAUCGACGAGAUGCCUUGGUGACUCGAUGAGUUGGAGCGGGUUUUCCCGUUUUCAGUCUGUAGAGUAAACCCGGCGAGUUGAUAAGAUAACUCGACGAGUUGGAUCAGGUUUUUCUCAUUUUCGGUCUGACGAGUAACUCAACGACUUGAUGAGGCAACUCGGUGAGUUGGCUAGGGUAUUCUCUGGUUUUCUGAACACUGGAGGAACUCGACGAGUUGCUAGAUGCACUCGAUGAGUUGGGUUAACAUGGACUAUUGACCUUGAAUUUGACUAGGGUUGACCAAGUUUAACCUUAAGGUUAUUUCUGGCAUUUAUGGAUUUUCACAAGCUAGUCACAUGAUGAUUGUAGGCAAUUGAGUUGGAGCUGCACGUUGGGACUUAUCUGAACUUAUCUCAUCAGUUCAACAUCUUUGAGAGGUGAGUCUCCUCACCAUACUAAAGGGUCGAAGGCACGAAGACCGACCCAGUUUAUGAUAUGUGGUAUACUAGUUUAUGUAGUGUUAUGUAGCAUGUUAGCUGGUUAUGUGCUAGGAGGUAUGGUAGUUGUAUAUGUGGUAUACUUGUAUGGAAGACCAUGGGAGAGCCCAUGACACUUGGAUGUAAGGCCAUGUGGAGUGCCCAUGGAUUUCCUAUUAAAGACCAUGGGGGAUCCCAUGACACUUAGAUGUAAGACCAUGUGCAGAGCCCAUGACUUUCCUAUUAAAGAUCAUGGGCUCCGCCCAUGGCACUUAGGUGUAAGACCACAUGAGGUGCCCAUGGCAUCCUGGAGUAAAACCCUGGGGGAACCCACGACAUCCCUAUAUGUUGUAUGCUUGGCUUAUGUGGUUGAUGUAGCUUCUAUAGCUAAUACGAUAUAUGUGAUUAUGUGGACUGUGUGUGGUAUGCUCUGGGGAACUCACUAAGCAUUAGCUUACAGUUUGUUGAUUUGUUUCAGGUACAUCUAAGCCAAGGGGAAGGAUAAGGCUUGAUGGCGUGGCAUGCACUCUUCGAUAUUUGUUUUGAGGGGACAUUCUGAUAUUUGAAAUAAAAUGUUGAUGUUAUGGAUUUUGAAAACAAUUGUCAUUGAUAUUUCAUAUUUCAUGGGAAUGUUUUCGUUAAUUAAAAAUGAAAAUUUUAUUUGAAAAUUUGUGUCAGGACUCAAAACUAAGGAAAUGGUAAAAUUGUUUUCAAAAAUCAAAAGUUAAAAAAUUCUUAAAUGGAAAAAGAGGAAAGUGCAAGGUGCGUGAUCAUUCGAGCUCAAGUAAGUGGUUCCCUAAUAUGUUAGCCAUGUGGUACUGAUAAUUGGAUUAUGAUAGUCGGAUGGAUAUUGCUAUGUGUAUGCUUUUAAAAUUGUAUAUGGUUAGGAGCUUAUAACCUUAGAAUGAUUGAUUUUGCCUUAUUUCCUGUUCCUUGUCUGGUUGUGGUUCUAGGGUAGAAUCUAUUAUUCGAAAGUAUAUUUGAUCCUGUUCUGUGUAUAAUUUGCAUGAAUAAAGGCAACCUGUUAUGAUGAAGUUCUGGUUUGUUAUGGAUGGAGCAAAUCUUAGGAUAGCCUAGGAUUUGAGUUAUGCGGUAGCCUGGGAGAUAUGUUUUGUUUUGGGACGAAUUAGAGUCAUCAGGUAGAGCCUUGCGGAAGGUACAAGUAGGUUUGGAAUGUAGUAUUGGACCCAUACUACUAAAAGCACAAGACAUGUACCCGAACCAAUGUUAGAUCUAGAGGCUCUAAGGAGAGCCGGUGUGGGAGGAUCCCCUUUUUGUACAUCCUGAUCAUUAUGUUUUAUGAUAUUGCAGUUCAGUAUGGUGGUGACACAAUUUGGAGCAGAGGGAUCCGGAUUAGGAUCCAGAUUUGGUUCUGGCGACGGUACCGAGCCCAUUGAUGAGAGGUUGCGCGAGCUCAUUGCAAUCGAGGUUACGAGGGGAAUCCUUGACGCUACCCCAGUGAUUUUUGGGACAGUGAAGGAAGGGAUGAUGGAGAUUUUUGAGGAGAGGCUCAGGUCAUUCAGAGCUGAGAUUGCUGCGGGCCAUAUCGGGGCCCGAACUCCCUUGUUCCGGGAGUUCAAGGCAUAUGGGGCGCCAUAGUUUUUAUGGCCAGGGACCCCAUAGUUAGCCAACUCUUGGAAGCGGACAUGUAGAACACCCAGUGCACGAGUUCCUACCUUGAUGUGGAAAAUAUGAGUUUUGUUUCAUGUAUGUUGAGGGAUCGAGCCUGAGAUUGGUGGGGAGAGGUGACUAGCCAGGUGGGAGCAGCCGGUAUGGCUGAGAUGAUGUGGUCAGAGUUUGUUAGGCGAUUCAAUUUGAAGUUUGCACCACCUAUUAAGGUGCAACGGCUAGUGAGGGAGUUUCAUGAGCUCUAAUAGACCACCGAGACUGUGGCGGAGAUCACCGCCAAGUUUCGGGAACGAGCACUAUCGAUCCCACAAUAUACUAUAGAUGAGGAUAUGAGGAGGACGAGGUAUCAUUCCAUACUGAGGGAUGAUAUCCCAGAGUUUGUAAGUUUUACAGGGUGCAAAAACUUGAAUGAGAUGGUGGAGAAGGCCCGUGAGUGGAAGAUGGAGUUGGAUUUCCGCACCAAGCGGAAGACUGAGCAAGCAUAAACAACAGUAGGUCAGGCUAAAAAUCCGAAGACCUCAGAUUCUUCCGGUAGGGGCUAACAGGGUCGUAGCCAGUAUGCCAAGUGCGGUAAACCGCACAAUGGGGCUUUUCAAGCGGCAGGCACGGGAUGCUACGCAUGUGGCCAGUUUGGGCCACGUGAUCAGGGACUGCCCCAAGAAGAGCCUGAUUUGUUUCUAGUGCAACCAGACCGGCAACAAAUAGGCUGAACGUCCGAGGUUGCAGGAAGGGGGAGGAGCAGUGGCGACGCCUGCGCCUACGACACUGAGGAUCACUGAUGGCCGCCCUGCUAAGGCAGAUGCUCCAGUGGUGAAGAGCCACGUAUUUCAGUUAACUAUCGAGGAGGCUCGGGCAGUGCCAUGCGUCAUGGCUGGUACGUGUUUUUUCUUUGCUGCUUGAUAUUUAUUUGUAUUGCUUAUGUGUAUAUAUGUGCUCAUGUGUAGGGACCUUUUUGGUAAAUGGUAUGUCGGCUCACAUUCUGUUCGAUUCGGGUGAUACCAGAUUAUUUGUAUCUCUUGCACUUAGCAAGAAGUUUCGGGAUGCGCCAGGGAUUUUGGAUUCCCCGUUUGAGGUUGAGAUUGCAGAUGAACGCACUAUGAAUAUUGCAAGGGUGUAUCGCGACUAUGUCCUGAAUAUGGUUUGGGAGAGGUUUCAUGUUAAUCUAGUCCCGAUACCGUUGCGAGGGUUGAAGGUGAUCGUCGGGAUGGACUGGUUGGAGACCAAUGGGGCCAUGAUCGAUUGCGAGCGCUAGCUGGUGAGGGUUCGAACCCCAAGUGGGGGGGGGGGAACUGGUUAUUCAUGGAGAGAGGGCCUCGCAGGGGCCAACCCUUUAUUCAGCUGCGAGGGCUAGGAGACUUCUUCAGCAGGGUUGUUUGGUAUUUUUCGUAUAUAUCUCGACAGAUUUGGGUAGUGUGCCAGUUGUACAAGAUUUUCGGGAUGUUUUCCCUGAAGAGUUGCAUGGAGUGCCUCCGAAGAGGCAAGUGGAGUUUUGCAUUGAUUUGGUGUCAGGUGCCGCUCCGAUAGCCAAGGCACCGUACCGUCUAGCUCCACCCGAAAUGCAGGAGCUAUCUACGUAGCUUCAGGAGCCGCUAGAUCGAGGGUUUAUCCAUCUGAGCAGUUCCCAGUGGGGAGCACCGAUCCUAUUCGUGAAAAGGGACGGGUCACACAGGAUGUGUAUUGAUUAUCGAGAGAUGAACAAGCUAACAGUGAUAAACAGUUACCCGAUUCUGAGGAUCGAUGAUUUGUUCGAUUAACUGUAUGGUCCGCCUUGGUUUUCCAAGAUUGAUCUUUGGUAGUGGUACUAUCAGAUGAUGAUUCGGGAUGAGGAUACACCGAAAAAACCUUAAAGGACUCGGUAUGGGCACUAUGAGAUUGUGGUGAUGCCAUUUGGGCUCACCAAUUUCCCAGCAUCAUUCAUAAAUCUCAUGAACAGGGUGUUGGAUCGGUUAGUGAUCAUAUUUAUCAAUGAUAUUUUGGUCUAUUUUUAGACCAAGGAGCAGCACGAGCAGCAUCUGAGGGAGGUAUUGGAUACAAUGAGGAUGGAAAGGCUUUAUGCCAAGUUCUCAAAGUGUGAUUUUUGGUUGAGAGAGGUGCAGUUUUGGGGAUACAUCAUCAACCAAUAGGGUAUUUUGGUUGAUCCAGCCAAGAUUGAGGUAGUGAUGUGGUGGGAGGUGUUGAAGAAUUCAUUAGAGAUAUGUAGCUUCUUGGGUCUAAUAGGGUACUAUCGAAGAUUCAUUCAGGAUUUCUCCAAGAUUGUUGUGCCUUUGACCUGCUUGACCAAGAAGAAUCUGACAUUUCGAUGAGGCCUAGAUCGGCAGUUGGCUUUCGAGACCUUGAGGCAAAGCUUAUUUGAGGCCCCGAUUUUAGCAUUACCGUGGCGACUCGGCGAGUUGGAGCGGUGAUAUGGGCUUAUUUAGUCGGAAAAAUCAUGCAUGAUCUUAAUACUUUAUGUUAAUUUUAUCUCAAAUAAUGAACCAAAGGUGCUUAAUUAGCUUAAAUAUUUCAUUUUCAGCAACAAAGGCAUGCUCGGAUGGAAAAUGAAGCGGAACUAGCGAUUGGAGGCUUGGAUCUUGGAUUUUGAUGAAAGAAGGAUGUUGCUGGACAGCUUGACCCUUGUUAGUGUUAUGGCCAUAUCUUUUGAAUCGUAACUCCGAUUGAAGAGAUUCAAAAUGUUUUGAAAACUAGACACAAUUUCGGACGACUUUCGUGUUUUGAGGAAAUGCUGAUUCCAAACGGACUCAGCGAGUAUGCCAUCAACUCGACGAGUUGGUCAGAAGUUUAACAAUUUUUAAGUGAUGGACUCGGCGAGUAGGUCACUGGACUCGCCGAGUAGCCCCUGUUUUCAUAAUNNNNNNNNNNNNNNNNNNNNNNNNNNNNNNNNNNNNNNNNNNNNNNNNNNNNNNNNNNNNNNNNNNNNNNNNNNNNNNNNNNNNNNNNNNNNNNNNNNNNNNNNNNNNNNNNNNNNNNNNNNNNNNNNNNNNNNNNNNNNNNNNNNNNNNNUAUAUCGAAACGCUUCUCAUUUGAAACCUAAUGAAUGGGGGAAGUUUAGGACGAUUUUUGGAGGCCAGAAGGGUUCUUAGAAGCUGUGGUUUUCGAGAUUUCAACUUAGAUAUCAAUUUGAAAGAAGAUCAAAGGCCAUAACACACUACUUUUAUCUUAAUCUUUUGCAUAAACCAUGUUUCAAUCAUUAGAUUAUGUUUUUAGUUUUUUAUUUGCUGUAGAUAUGAGCCAAAAAGUCAUAACUUUUGUUUAGGAUAAAUGAUUUUGUGAUUAUGGUUUGACUUUAUGGUAGGAUUAAUUUAAUAUUGGUGAUUUUGUGAUUCUAGCUUGUUAAAGAACAUUUUGUGUGAUUGAAAACUAUUUUUCUGUUAUUAGGAAGUUAAUUAAACUGUACGAACAUCUCUUAAUUGUUACCUCAUAUAAUUUAUGUGACUACUUUGUUAUAUGACUAGGAUUAACGACUGUGAAACUAGAAUUAAUAGAAAAAUAGGUAAAAUCGUGUGUGAGCUUGUGUGAUGACCAUCAACAAGAGGUCAACUAAAGGACCAAAUAAGUUAACCAUUACAAGUCUAAAUUAACCCGAAUAAAUAACCUAGUGAAUUGAAUUAAAUUAGACAAUUGGCCACUGUUUGAGUUAGUUUGUUCUCUAAGGAUUAGUGCAGCGAACGUGAAUCUAAUCACUUGAAUCGGUAGCCAAUAGAAGAAUUAAUCCAUUGCAUCAUUACCAUAAUAUCAACCAUAUGAUCAAUAGAGUUGAACUAAACAGAAGUUCCCUUCGUUAUUGAAUUUAGUUGAAUCUUUGCUUAUCUAGUUUUUAGUUAAGUAUUCUAAGUAUUAGUUGGUAAGUUUCUAGUCUUGCAAAACUAGAGAAACCCCCUUUUUUAUUGCUUGUUUUAUUUAGAUAAUAUUAGCAUUUAUUUUAAUUGUUUACCGUUCCCUGUGUUCGAUACCCUACUUGCUUGCACUAUUACUAAUCAAUAGGUACAUUGCAUUUCGUGUGUUUAUUUUGUGUCUAAGUUAGUAGGAUUAAAACUAGUUGGUUUUCACACACAUCAAGUUUUUGGCGCUGUUACCGGGGAACGGUUCAAAUAGUUAAUUUUAUUUGCUAACUGUUAUCGUUUUUAUUUUAUUGAUUAGUUUUUUUUAUUUGAAUUUUAAGUUUUAUUUAUUAUGUAUUUUCCAAAUCUCGAUGCUUUUGAUGCUUUUCUUGAGGAAGUAGUGCAGGAAAUUGAGCAGGAAGAUGAGGAUUAUGACUCAGAUGAUGAUUUGAAGAAAUUUGGAAGAUAGUUAGAUAACUUCUUGUCUAACGAUCAAGAACAAUUUGAGUCACAAGAGCUAAAGUUACAAGAUGAAGAAUUUAAUCCAGAAAGAGAUUUGGAGGAGCUAGAAAGGUUGCUAGCAGAGAGUUCGGAUGAAGAAUAAAAACAAGCUGAAUUGCAGGAACCAAGUUGUGGUUUGACCAUUACCACAACAUGGUCCCCUGUUCUUCCGGUUUGUGUUUCGAAGCAUGGGGUGACGAUUCCAACUUUGGAGAAAGUUCUAAAUCACGAUCCAUUUAUGAUUCAUAUCCAACCGGUUCCAACCCUUGUCAAUAUUCUUGGGUUUAUGAAUUCAAGCUCGUUUGGCUAAUUUUUGAAGCAAAGAGACAAAUUUUAUAAAUUGGUCCAAAGAAAAUAUUUAAUGCAAUGGAUGGAUGGGCAUCGAAUUUAUUAGAAGUUUAUUAAGUUGGGAGUCCAGCUAAAGACUCACACAAAAAGAAGCGCUUGCGGGAGGCAACCCGUCAUUAGAGUUUCCUUUUCUUUUUCUUUUUAAACUUCUAGUUUAUUAGGGUAAUUUAGGAAUUUAAUUUUGAUGUUUGUUUUCGUUUUUCUAUUACUUGUGUGUUUUUUUUGAUCUUUUCAGUUUGAAGCUUAGGAUUGCAUGUGAGGGUCUAGAGUCAAGGUUGACGAAGCGAGAAUUCGAGUCUAGGCGAGAGAGGAAACAAAGUUUUGAUUCAAGCUAUGAGUCCAAUUGAUAGAAGGGUUAUAGAGUGUUUAUCCCCCGAAGAAAAAAGAGGGGAAGUAUUAGUUUCUAUAACCCCUAUACAUCAGAAACGGACUUGGGCAGAAUAAAAUUUUUGUCACACAUCGAUCUACUCGCCGAGUGCAUCUUAUGGACUCGCCGAGUCCAUGUGAAAAUUCACGAUUCUUCUACCAUUUACGCUUCAACUCAGCGAGUCUACAUACUUACUCGAAGCGUCGCUCAUUCUUCUUACUUUUGAGCUGAAGAUUUGAUGACAUUUGAUAUGGGCAUUGGUUCUAUUCUUUGAAGAUCAUUUUCCGAGCAUUUCGAAGAGUCUUUCUCUUAUAUUUGGAGCUUUUAUAAAGACUGUACCACACGAGAUUUUGACACCCAAUACAUGGAUGAGUUGUUCCCAUGUCUAAAGUCAAUUGAAGAUGGAGCUGAAGAGAAGAGAUAUCAACCUCGUCACUACUAUCCCAGGGGAGUUUGUUCCAAUUCUCUCUUUAUUUUUAUUGUUCUUUAUCAUGCAUAAUAUGCAAUGGGGACAUUGCAUAAAUUAAGUGUGGGGUAGGGGUUGGUUAAAUUAGUUAAAAUUUUAGUUAAAAUUCGAAAAUCUUGAAAUUUUAGUUAAUUUUGAAAUUUUUGCAUUAAAAUUGCUAGGGUUAAUUUAGAAAAUUUUGGUAAAGCAAUUAGGGAUCAUGCUAGUUUUAUAUUUGAUGAUUCUAUGAAGACCCAAAUGUUUAGUUGAGCCUAUAUACAUUAUAGUGCAUUUGUGACCCCCUUUAUUCUAGUGAAAUCGUGGGACAAAAACACAACCUCGCUUAGUUUGAGGAUCGCAAUAUGUUUAGCAUCGUGUACCAGAAAUGUAUCCAGGAAAAUUUUAUCUUUAACCAAUAAAGGUUGAAGUUGAGCGCCCCUGCUUAAGCAUGUAGGAUUUGAGUGGAAAAAAAAGAAAAAGAAAAAAAAAGUGAGUUACAUGUAAAAAAAAAAAAAAGAGAAUUACAAGAAAAGUUGUAAGAAUUGUGGAGAAAUCAAAGUGAAGAUCAAAAGAUCAAAAUUCCGAAGAUUCAAAAAGUUGAAGAUACCAAAAAUCAAACAACGAAGGUGGUGAAUUCAAAGAAAUCAAAGAUCAAAUUAUCAAGAAAGUGAAGAAUUCCAAUAGCUCCAUAGUGGUAUCGAAAAGUUGUAAUUUUCUAGAUUAUGUAUGCUUGGGUUACUUGACCAAAAAUACCUUGAGGUAAUAAAAGUUUUCUAAGGAUGGAUUCGGAGGGAUGCAUAAAAUGAGCGUUGUUCAAAAGAAGUGGGCGAGUGUUUAUGAGGAUUGUGAGUAUUUAGAAUUGAGGGGGUCCUUAGGAAAAACUUUAGACACAAAUGCAUGCUUUGCAGUCUUGGCAUAAUGGCUGGGUUCGAUUGGGAUUGUCUUAUGUGGUAUUAGUGUGCUAAAAUUCGGUUUUGCUUAGGGGCAAGCAAAAGUCAAGUGUGGGGGAUUUUGAUAUGAGCUUAUUUAGUCAUAGAAAUCAUUCAUUAUCUUAUUAAUUAUUGUUGAUUUUAUAUCAUUUUAUGAACAAAAGAUACUUAAUUAGCUUAAUAUUUCAAUUUCAGCAAUAAAAGACAUGNNNNNNNNNNNNNNNNNNNNNNNNNNNNNNNNNNNNNNNNNNNNNNNNNNNNNNNNNNNNNNNNNNNNNNNNNNNNNNNNNNNNNNNNNNNNNNNNNNNNNNNNNNNNNNNNNNNNNNNNNNNNNNNNNNNNNNNNNNNNNNNNNNNNNNNNNNNNNNNNNNNNNNNNNNNNNNNNNNNNNNNNNNNNNNNNNNNNNNNNNNNNNNNNNNNNNNNNNNNNNNNNNNNNNNNNNNNNNNNNNNNNNNNNNNNNNNNNNNNNNNNNNNNNNNNNNNNNNNNNNNNNNNNNNNNNNNNNNNNNNNNNNNNNNNNNNNNNNNNNNNNNNNNNNNNNNNNNNNNNNNNNNNNNNNNNNNNNNNNNNNNNNNNNNNNNNNNNNNNNNNNNNNNNNNNNNNNNNNNNNNNNNNNNNNNNNNNNNNNNNNNNNNNNNNNNNNNNNNAUAUAUAUAUAGAAACGCUUCUCAUUCGAACCCUAACGAAUGGGGGAAGUUUAGGACAGUUUUUGGAGGCCAGAAGGGUUUUAUGAAGCUGUGGUUUUUGAGAUUUUAACUUAGAUAUCAAUUUUGAAGAAGAUCAAAGGCAAUAAUACAUUACUUUUAUCUUAAUCUUUUGCAUAAACCAUGUUUCAAUCAUUAGAUUAUGUUUUUAGUUUGUUAUUUGCUGUAGAUAUGAGCUAAAAACUCAUAACUUAUGUUUAGGAUAGAUGAUUUUGUGAUUAUGGUUUGAUUUUAUGGUAGGAUUAAUUUAAUAUUGGUGAUUUUGUUGAUUCUAUCUUUUUAAAGAACCUUAUGUGUGAUUCAAAACUAUUUUUCUAGUUAUUAGGAAGUUAAUUAAGCUGUAUGAACAUAUCUUAAUUGCUACCUCAUAUAAUUUAUGUGACCACUUUGUUAUAUGACUAGGAUUAACGACUUUGAAACUAGAAUUAAUAGAAAAAUAGGUAAAAUCAUGUGUGAGCUUGUGUGAUGACCAUCAACAAGAGGUCAACUAAAGGACCAAAUUAGUUAACCAUUACAAGUCUAAAUUAACCCGAAUAAAUAACCUAGUGAAUUAAAUUAAAUUAGACAACUGGCCACUGUUUGAGUUAGUUUGUUCUCUAAGGAUUAGUGCAGCGAACGUGAAUCUAAUCACUUGAAUCGGUAGCCAAUAGAAGAAUUAAUCCAUUGCACCAUUACCAUAAUAUCAACCAUAUGAUCAAUUGAAUUGAACUAAACAGAAGUUCCCUUCGUUAUUGAAUUUAGUUGAAUCUUUGCUUAUCUAGUUUUUAGUUAAGUAGUCUAAGUAUUAGUUGGUAAGUUUCUAGUCUUGCAAAACUAGAGAAACCCCCUUUUUGUUGCUUUUUUUAUUUAGAUAAUAUUAGCAUUUAUUUUAAUUGUUUAUCGUUCCCUGUGUUCGAUACCCUACUUGCUUGAACUAUUACUAAUUGAUGGGUACACUGCCUUUCGUGUGUUUAUUUUGCAUCUAAGUUAGUAGGACUAAAACUAGUUGGUUUUCACACACAUCAAGCGGGCUUUCCCGUUUUCGGUCUGCAUUGUAAAUGCGAUGAGUUGAUAAGAUUACUCAAUGAGUUGGAUCGAGUUUUUCCUGUUUUCGGUCUGACGAGUAACUCGACGAAUUGAUGAGGCAACUCAGCGAGUUGGCUAGGGUUUUCCUCGGUUUUUUGAACACUGGAGGAACUCAACGAGUUGGGUCAACAUGGACUGUUGACCUUCACUUUGACUAGGUUUGACCAAGUAUGACCUUAAGGGUAUUUAUGGCAUUUCAGGAUUUUGACAAGCUAGUCACAUGAUGAUUGUAGGCAGUUGAGUUGGUGCUGCGCGUUUGGACUUACCCGAUCUUAUCUCAUCAGUUCAGCAUUUUUGAGAGGUGAGUCUCCUCACCAUACCAAUGGGUCGGAGGCACCAUGGCCGGCCCAUUUUACGAUAUGUGGUACACUAGUUGAUGUAGUGCUAUGUGGCAUGUUAGCUGGUUGCGUGCUACGAGGUAUGCUAGUUGUAUAUGUGGUAUACUUGUAUGGAAGACCAUGGGAAAGCCAAUGGCACUUAGAAGUAAGACCAUGUGGAGUGCCCAUGGCUUUCCUAUUAAAGACCAUCAGGGUAGCCCAAGGCACUUAGGGAUGACUUGAAGAAUCGUGAAUUCACUACCGCUAAUUUACGUAUUGCCAUUAUCAUCCAAUGGGACAACACCAAUUGGGGGUUACGUUUUCUUCCUUGAAGUUGCAAGUGUGCGAGAGAGAGAGAGAGAGAGAGAGAAGUACGAUAUUGGUGUCGAGUUGUGAUAUAUNNNNNNNNNNNNNNNNNNNNNNNNNNNNNNNNNNNNNNNNNNNNNNNNNNNNNNNNNNNNNNNNNNNNNNNNNNNNNNNNNNNNNNNNNNNNNNNNNNNNUUAUGGCUAAGGUCGCUGAGAUCUUAGAGGGUAGGUGAGGGAGUUACCGAUGGGAUGAAGGUGAUGUGUGUUGGGAAUAUAAGGGGGAAAAGAUAAAGAACAAAAUAUUAGGAGCGAGAUAAAAUGGGAGGAGGAGUCAUGGUAGCUUUGCCAUUGUGGGCGUCGGUUCCAAGUUGCUCCGAUGAUAAUGGGUAUGUAACUAAGGAAAUGAUUGAUAAAUUACUAAUUUUUAUAAUAACUAUCCUAAUUCUGAAAAAUUGAUCUGGAUCAUAGUAGGAUUGAAAUUGGCAUAAGAUCACAUUUGAGAUCGCGGAAUCGAAACCGAGAUCCAAUAUGAUCAUACCAUACUAUCAAAAUCUGAAUAGUAAAAUCGAAUGAAUAAUCAGGAAGAAACUCAAGGAAAUAUUUAGGAAGCAACUCAAAAAUCAAAAGAAAUAUCACGAACCAACCAUUAAGAUUAAAGAGAUGAACAUAAAAAUGUUAGGCCGUGCUUUUUCUUCUAAUCACGCUUCUCUGUCAUCUGUGCAUUUAUAACUUUUUAGUGAUAGUAAUGAAGUUCUUCUUUAAUCAAAAUUAUAAUUUGACUUUAAAAGGUUUCAAAGUGUAGUUGUGUGUUGUUAUGUGAAUUUCAUUGCUUAUUUUUCGAUCUUCAUUUUGAUAUAUAAUACUCAAUCAUUCUUGAUCUUUAUUUUGAUAUAAAACUCAACUUCUUUUGUAUGUUUCGAUAUUAUGAUUGUUAGGUACAUUUCCAUGUUCUAAUUCCUUGCUAUUGCCACUAAUUCCACAUGGCUAACCACUAUGUAAAUAUUGGAUUAAUGAUGGGAAGAUGUUGUUGCCACAUAUCACCAUUUAUUAUGUUAGAGAAUAAGUUAGAUAAUAUUAUUUAUCAGUAUUGUUUGGAUUUUUUUUAUAACUUUUUAUACUGUCAACUAUUAUAAAGAUGCAUUUUUUAUGUUUUCAACUUAUAGAUACGUUAUUUCUUGUAUGUUCUUGAGACCCCGAUAGGAUCUUGCAAAGUUAAAAUGUUCUUACAUAGGUUCCCAAUCUUAGUAACCUUAAUUUUAACCCUAAAUGAAAUUAACUACAAAACAAAAUCUUAUUUUUAAAUAAAAUAAAAUAAAAUGAUUUAAAAGUUAAAUUGAAUUAAUUUAAAACGACUAAAUUAUAUCCCAAUUAAUUUAUUGUGUGAAAGUUGUAUUUGGAAGCUUUACAAUUGAAUGUCAAUGAAAUUUGGAUAAAUCGAUUUGACUAGGUUAUGACUUAUUCGUAACAAUUUUAUCAUUCAAGACGAUCGAACUGGAAAAUAAGGGACUAUGCAUGUUAAUUAGAAAGUUAUUGUUGGUUAUACAAAAAUAUUUAAAGGAUAAGGGACUAAUCUUGCCAAUUACGGAAAAGUAGGGUUUGAUUUUGACAUAACUUAGUAACAAAAUUAGGUUUCUUUUUGUUGAAGUGCUAGGUUUUUUUUUUUUAAAUCAUUUUAUUACAUAUUAAAACCACUUUCAACCAAUUCAAUAACUACACCAACCUUCUAAACUCUCUUUAAUUCUUUUCUGGUUUUCUAUUUUUUUUUUAACCCAAAUGACUUCUUGUGAUAACUCCUAUUAAUAUGUGCACUACAUUUUAGUGAAAAUUUUCCAUUUCUCUACUCAUGUUCAUCCGAAGCAUCUAAUAUCCACAACAUUUUGGCAUUAGUUUCUUGACCUACACUAAGGAUUCUUCAAAAAUACUACAAGUUAAAGUGUGCCUAGAAAUCUGAAAACUUAUCACGAUAGAGAUUAGGAAGUUGCACAAAAGUAGUUAUACAACAUUACUUUGUUUUUAAUGAAAAGUUUGGUGAUGAGCAAUUUUAGAUAAGAUUCCAAAUGAAUAGACCCAUAUUCAUGCAUAUUAUUGGCAAUAUGGAUACAAAAUAUCCAUAUUUUCAAACAAAUUUAGAUGCACAAUGCAAAAAAAGAAAAAAAAUGCAUUGUAGAAACAUACAUCUGCAAUACGACAUGCAUGUUCGUCGAGUACUUGAAUAUGUUGGAAAUAACUUUACAUGAAAUCCUCUACAACUUUUUCCAUGGUUUUGAUAACAUAGAUGGAGACGAUUUUAUACGCAAGCCAACAUCGAACAACAUUUAAUUUUUGUACAUUGCACAUGCAUCAAGACAUGAAUUUCUUUGUAACUUAGGUAGAAUUGAGUGUACACAUUGUGAUCAGAGAAAUUGCCUGUAACAUCUCGAUAUUAAGGUAUUUCCACUUUUAACCCUUGAAAUGAGAAUUUAUUGAAUUUUGGACCGUAGUGGUAUUUUUGUAAAUUUUUUGAAGAAGCUUGUAUACGCUCGGUGUACAUUGUGUACGCUGGGUGUACGUGAUGAAAUCCCAAACCCUGGUAUUUAGGGUUUGGACUCUAUUUAAACUUCCUUAAGUCCCAAUCCUUCCUUCCUUCAUCAGCCUCCAGCCCCAACUUCGACCUUUGCAAACCCUAAUUCGUUUUUGAAGCAUUCUUGAGCCAUUGUUGUGUUUUGGUGUUUAUAGAGGAAGAAAAGGGAAAAGAUAACAACUUAUAAGCUUGGAACAAACUUUGAACUGGAAUUUUUGCACACUCCUAUAGAUAUUAUAGGUGUAAAUUUCAUACCUUCGUGGUCAUUUGGUUAGAUCUUGCUUGUAUGAUGUUACUAUGUGCUUUUGUCCCAAUCAAUAUUGUUCUUGAGUAUGACAUGCUCUAGAUCCAUUCAAGCUGUCCUUUCAGACGUUUUGGAGUGUCUAAGGUCAUAAUAAUGCAAUCUUGAUUGUUAAAUUCCUUCCAUGCAUGAGUUAAAGUGUCUUAAUGAGUUAUGAAUUUAGGGUUUUUGUUGUUGGGCACUUAAUAGCCAUGCAAUACCAUGAAGUUGGAAACAUUAUGGUUAAGGACGUUAGUUUAGGACUAGAUCUGAAAAUUUGGCAAAAGAGCUUAAGGAUUAAGAUCUUAAUAAGAAAGGGAAGAAAUCCAUUGUGUACGCUGGGCAUAACCAGGUACGCCGCACGUACAAAGUCAGCCGACCCACUUUUGGUCAACAAGCUAGUACGUCGUGCGUACCAGCUAAGUAUGUUGGGCGUACUCAACUUGUUGACCAAGUUUAACUUUUUGACUUUUUGACUUUUACCAAGAUUUGACCAAGUUUGACCUAAGGGUAUUUUAGGUAUUUGAACUUGUAUUUGAGAUUUCUCACUGUUUGUUGAAUAGGUGACAGGUAGAGCUAAGAUUCAGAGUAAAGAUCUAUUUAGCUAUUUGUUCAGACUAAGAGGUGAGUUUACCUCACUGUUCUUGUGGGUCGAAGGCACCAAUUUCGGCGCAUUAGUUUAUAUAUAU